Molecule: ribosomal RNA, 539 nt
Filed under: uncultured archaeon
Lineage: Archaea
Description: bacterial SSU rRNA
Rfam family: Archaeal small subunit ribosomal RNA
Source: RNAcentral
AGCAGCCGCGGGAACACCGGCAGCUCUAGUGGUAGCAGUUUUUAUUGGGCCUAAAGCGUCCGUAGCCGGUUUAAUAAGUCUCUGGUGAAAUCCUGUAGCUUAACUGUGGGAAUUGCUGGAGAUACUAUUAGACUUGAGACCGGAGAGGUUAGAGGUACUCCCAGGGUAGAGGUGAAAUUCUGUAAUCCUGGGAGGACCGCCUGUUGCGAAGGCGUCUAACUGGGACGGUUCUGACGGUGAGGGACGAAAGUUAGGGGCGCGAACCGGAUUAGAUACCCGGGUAGUCCUAACUGUAAACGAUGCGGACUUGGUGUUGGGGUGGCUUUGAGCUGCUCCAGUGCCGAAGGGAAGCUGUUAAGUCCGCCGCCUGGGAAGUACGGUCGCAAGACUGAAACUUAAAGGAAUUGGCGGGGAGCACCACAACGCGUGGAGCCUGCGGUUUAAUUUGGAUUCAACGCCGGACAUCUCACCAGAGGCGACAGCUGUAUGAUAGCCAGGCUGAUGACUUUGCUUGACUAGCUGAGAGAAGUGGUGCAUGG